AGACAACAAAUUUUUAAUUAAUUAUAAUAAUAGGUACAUAAUAGUAGUACAUUACUACAAUAAUAUUAUAAUUUCCACACUCUAAUUUUUAUAAUUUUUCUUGUACUAAUAUUCAUGUACUUAUAUAGUAUGUCCCCAAUUUUUUUAACAUAAAAACAAAACAGCUAAAUUAAUUACAAACUUAGGACAAAAAUAUCUUCUUAGUGUGGGAGAAGGAUAGAACUUACUCUAAUACUCUACACUCUUAGUCACGAGGGUAAUUUAGGAAUUUUACCAAGCAGAAAUAGAACACGACAAAAACCUUAAUAUUAACGAGUCUGGAUUUUUCCAACGAAAAGACAAUAAUGCCCUUAACUUGGCCACGUCAAGAACUCGUCCAAGUCAAACUCGCCAAACUCUUCUUUUUCUUUCCCAAACGGAACAAAGUUAAUGGCCGUUAAACUUAACGGCGCGUCAAUUUCGAACCCAAAAGCAUCCACUNNN
This 483-nucleotide long non-coding RNA is filed under the name Trifolium pratense (red clover). Its description in RNAcentral is "long non-coding RNA (TPRA_LNC011551)". The record is from RNAcentral. Lineage: Eukaryota; Viridiplantae; Streptophyta; Magnoliopsida; Fabales; Fabaceae.